Long non-coding RNA from Passer domesticus (house sparrow), 1849 nucleotides. RefSeq lists it as uncharacterized. The record is from RefSeq and is a predicted model, not a curated record. NCBI's taxonomy places the organism in Eukaryota, Metazoa, Chordata, Aves, Passeriformes, Passeridae. The transcript is spliced from 8 exons.
AACAAUGUUCCCCAGGGAUCAGUGUUGGGCCCAGUCUUGUUUAGUAUCUUUAUUGAUGAUCUGGAUGAGGGGAUUGAGUCCACCACCAGCAAAUCUGCAGAUGAUACCAAGCUGGAAAAAAGUGUUGAUCUGCUGGAGGGUAGGAGGGCUCUGCAGAGGGACCUGGACAAGCUAAAUUGAUGGACCAAAUCCAACUUCUUAAACCAACAAUAAGAGGUUUAAGAAGAUCAAGUUCCAGGUCCCUCAUCUUGGUCAACCCCCUGCAGCUCUACAGGUUGGGGACAGAGUGGCUGAACAGUGUCCAGAUAGAAAGGGAUGUGUGGGUACUGAUUGACAGCAGCUGAACAUGGGCACACAUCAGCAUGCCCAGGUGGCCAUGUAGGCCAGUGGCAUCCUGGUCUGUAUCAGGAAUACUGUGGCCAGCAGGACUAGGAAAGUUAUUCUUCUUCUGUAGCUGGCACUGGUAAGGCCACACCUUGAGUGCUGUGACCAGUUCUGAGACAGUCUAUUUAGGAAGGAUGCUUGGAGCAUAUCCAGAGAAGGCAAACUAAGUUGGUGAAAUGUCUGGAACACAAGUCCUGUGAGGAGCAGCUGAGGGAGCUGGGAUUGUUCAGACUGGAGACAGGAGGCUCAGAUUAAGAAGCUUGAAUGAACAGAGGUUUAUAUUGAGAAGUUAUUGAAAAUUAAAGUCAGAGCACAACAUUAAAACUUUAUUUCAGGCAUUCACAAACAAUCCUGGACCUUGUCCCCAGAAGAUCCAGAAACAACCAAAGCAGAAACCAGAGACAGCUGUGCAAACCUAUUUCUCUUAGCUAUAUUUAUCAGUGAAGGUAAUCAUUGCCUGUUGCAGUUCAGGAAAAAUAGUCUUUGGAGACAGCAAGAGAGAGUUCCGAAGCUUCAGCUCCUGACCAUCUUUCUAUGUUAACAGAACAUCUCCGGAAAGGAAUGUUCUUAUCCAACAUAAUUAAGAUUACUAGAUGCUGCUUCACUUCCUGCAAUAGCCUGUAUCACCUCAAGAAGAGUGAGGCAGAGGGAGUUUGAAGCACACUUUGACCUCGUUCUGACAACUGGUUCUAGAUGUCAAGUCUGACUUGGGAAGGUCUCUGCCUUUAAGAAAGAUUUUGCCCUGAAGAAGGUUCACUCCAGAAGCUGAUUCUUGCUCAUUAACUUCCCUUCCAGCAACUUUUCAAGACUCAAAACUCCCCAGCUCAGCUCCUUCAACAAGCCCAGCAGCAGCAUGCAUAUGUUACACAUUAAAAACAGCCAGAGAAGUGUCAGUGUGGAACAUUUGCAACCAUACACAUCACUGAUGACUAAGUUACAACCAAUGGGGAGCAAUAAACACUGUCCAAGUGUGAUUCGUUGAAGCUAAUGUAGAUACCAGCUUCAGGAAAGGAUAUAUUUUACCACCCCAGUGCCUAUUUCUCUGCAGUAACUAUGGAGAAACCCAAAGGUGCCCAGCUCAGGCUUGUAAACUCUGUGUCCAUUCCCAUCCUUCAAGCACUGCUCAGAAAUUAAGAGUUCAAAGAGGAAGCCAUUGUUCCAUAUGUUCAGAAAAAUAUAAAGGAAGAAUGUGUCAUUUUGUCUGUUUUGGCUGAAUAGUCACUGAAAUAAAAUUUAAAAGACUUUGUAAAAUAAAGUUGAGUCAGAUUCAUGCUAUUUAAUACAGGGUUUAUAUAUUUUCAUAUAUAUAUUUUUUUAAUAUUUUGAUUGUUAGCUAAUUUGCUUCUUACACAAUGUGUAGGUUCUGGUGAUAGGUACAAGAAAAGCUGCCAGUCCAGUUAGGAGAUUCUAUACUAAUUGAAAACAGUAGAGUAUCAAUUUUCUAUAUCCUGCUGAUAUAAAAACA